AGAUAAAGAAUGCCAGGACCCCACCAAAGAUUCCACAGGGAUACAGGAGACAAGCGGGGAGUGAAGAUCCAGCCUGCCUCAAUCUUUGGUGUAAAAGCCAUCUUAUCAUAAAGACAAAGGAGGCCCACUCCUGUCUAUGGUUAGGCCUCUGCUUCUCAAGGAUUGGGCUUAUGCCCUACCUGCACCCUUACCUACAGAUAGUAGUUGGUUACCACCUGUUCCAGGAAUGGCAAUCCUGUCCCUGUUUCAAAGAGUGGUUUAUAGCCAUCUUGCAAUCCUACCCUUGUUGCAAAAGAUUAUAUGACCACCUAAUGACUACCUAGUUAUGACAAUGACUGCCUGCUGUUCCCACCUUGCAACCGUGUCUGUGUUUCAAGAGAUCAUUAGGACUGACUUGUUUGCCCUGCUCCUAUAAUGCCACCUAUUUUGCCCAUCAAAUCCACCACUUGGAAAUUCCGUACCCCUGAGCUAUGAAAGCCUUGUCUUCCUCACAUCGCAUCUAAUCUCGAACCCUGCCAUAGGGAGAGGCAGCCCUUGUGCAUGUUUAAAAAAAAAAAAACUCCUGUUUUAAUUAA
This 575-nucleotide long non-coding RNA is filed under the name Rattus norvegicus (Norway rat). Its description in RNAcentral is "long non-coding RNA NONRATT019795". Lineage: Eukaryota; Metazoa; Chordata; Mammalia; Rodentia; Muridae. The record is from RNAcentral.